This is a long non-coding RNA of Aquila chrysaetos chrysaetos, 236 nucleotides long. RefSeq lists it as uncharacterized. The record is from RefSeq and is a predicted model, not a curated record. The transcript is spliced from 3 exons. NCBI's taxonomy places the organism in Eukaryota, Metazoa, Chordata, Aves, Accipitriformes, Accipitridae.
CCAGAAGUUUGCUUUUAAGACGCUGUUGGCACAGCCGUGUUCUGGUAUCGUCGUCAGGGAUUUCAUUUAAAAAGAAAUUUGAACAGCAAGUUGACAACAAGUCUGCGGUGAAAGUUACGAUAUUUUAAAGGACAUAUAAUCUGCUGUGCUUUUCAAAACCCCCAAAUAGUUAUCAAUGUUGCUCUUUGUCUUGGAACUACAGAUUUUCCGUAAAAGAAAGCCUGGUUUUAUCAAGG